Molecule: ribosomal RNA, 253 nt
Filed under: uncultured bacterium
Lineage: Bacteria
Description: partial 16S ribosomal RNA
Rfam family: Bacterial small subunit ribosomal RNA
Source: RNAcentral
UACGUAGGGACCUAGCGUUGUCCGGAAUCAUUGGGCGUAAAGCGCGCGUAGGCGGCCCGGUAAGUCCGUUGUAAAAGUCGAAGGCUCAACCUUCGAAAGCCGAUGGAUACUGCCGGGCUAGAGUCCGGAAGAGGCGAGUAGAAUUCCUGGUGUAGCGGUGAAAUGCGUAGAGAUCAGGAGGAACACCCGUGGCGAAGGCGGCCCUCUGGCUCGACCCUGACGCUGAGAGGCGAAAGCGUGGGGAGCGAACGGG